GACGAACGCUGGCGGCGUGCUUAACACAUGCAAGUCGAACGCUGAAGCUCAGCUUUUGUUGGGUGGAUGGGUGGCGAACGGGUGAGUAACACGUGAGUAACCUGCCUCCUUCUUUGGGAUAACGCCCGGAAACGGGUGCUAAUACUGGAUAUUCACUGGUCUUCGCAUGGGGGUUGGUGGAAAGGGUUUUUCUGGUGGGGGAUGGGCUCGCGGCCUAUCAGCUUGUUGGUGGGGUGAUGGCCUACCAAGGCUUUGACGGGUAGCCGGCCUGAGAGGGUGACCGGUCACAUUGGGACUGAGAUACGGCCCAGACUCCUACGGGAGGCAGCAGUGGGGAAUAUUGCACAAUGGGCGCAAGCCUGAUGCAGCGACGCCGCGUGAGGGAUGGAGGCCUUCGGGUUGUGAACCUCUUUCGCUCAUGGUCAAGCCGCAACAAUGGUUGUGGUGAGGGUAGUGGGUAAAGAAGCGCCGGCUAACUACGUG
This 483-nucleotide ribosomal RNA is filed under the name uncultured bacterium. RNAcentral's name for it is "partial 16S ribosomal RNA". It matches the Rfam family "Bacterial small subunit ribosomal RNA", at positions 28 to 507 of the family's 1533-position model. The record is from RNAcentral.